GGGACGUUGGGUCGAUCUCAUUGGG
Molecule: small nuclear RNA, 25 nt
Filed under: Arabidopsis thaliana (thale cress)
Lineage: Eukaryota; Viridiplantae; Streptophyta; Magnoliopsida; Brassicales; Brassicaceae
Description: snRNA_11405
Source: RNAcentral